AGUGAACGCUGGCGGUAGGCCUAACACAUGCCAGUCGAACGGCAGCACAGUAAGAGCUUGCUCUUACGGGUGACGAGUGGCGGACGGGUGAGGAAUACAUCGGAAUCUACUUUUUCGUGGGGGAUAACGUAGGGAAACUUACGCUAAUACCGCAUACGACCUACGGGUGAAAGCAGGGGAUCUUCGGACCUUGCGCGAUUGAAGGAGCCGAUGUCGGAUUAGCUAGUUGGCGGGGUAAAGGCCCACCAAGGCGACGAUCCGUAGCUGGUCUGAGAGGAUGAUCAGCCACACUGGAACUGAGACACGGUCCAGACUCCUACGGGAGGCAGCAGUGGGGAAUAUUGGACAAUGGGCGCAAGCCUGAUCCAGCCAUACCGCGUGGGUGAAGAAGGCCUUCGGGUUGUAAAGCCCUUUUGUUGGGAAAGAAAAGCAGCAGGUUAAUACCCCGCUGUUCUGACGGUACCCAAAGAAUAAGCACCGGCUAACUUCGUG
RNAcentral lists this ribosomal RNA (492 nucleotides) under uncultured bacterium. RNAcentral describes it as "partial 16S ribosomal RNA". It matches the Rfam family "Bacterial small subunit ribosomal RNA", at positions 29 to 507 of the family's 1533-position model. The record is from RNAcentral.